GCCCUGGUGGUGGAAUUGGUAGACACAAGGGAUUUAAAAUCCCUCGGCGUUCGCGCUGUGCCGGUUCAAGCCCGGCCCGGGGCACCA
Molecule: transfer RNA, 87 nt
Filed under: Vibrio parahaemolyticus
Lineage: Bacteria; Pseudomonadati; Pseudomonadota; Gammaproteobacteria; Vibrionales; Vibrionaceae
Description: tRNA-Leu
Rfam family: tRNA
About the family: Transfer RNA (tRNA) molecules are approximately 80 nucleotides in length. Their secondary structure includes four short double-helical elements and three loops (D, anti-codon, and T loops).
Source: RNAcentral